This 21-nucleotide microRNA is filed under the name Rosa chinensis. RNAcentral describes it as "sRNA RchiOBHm_Chr2g0169605". Lineage: Eukaryota; Viridiplantae; Streptophyta; Magnoliopsida; Rosales; Rosaceae. The record is from RNAcentral.
UGGGAUGGGAAGAAUGGCACG